This 506-nucleotide ribosomal RNA is filed under the name uncultured bacterium. RNAcentral's name for it is "partial 16S ribosomal RNA". It matches the Rfam family "Bacterial small subunit ribosomal RNA", at positions 28 to 523 of the family's 1533-position model. The record is from RNAcentral.
GAUGAACGCUAGCUACAGGCUUAACACAUGCAAGUCGAGGGGUAACGAGAGGAAAGCUUGCUUUCCUUGUCGACGACCGGCGCACGGGUGAGUAACGCGUAUCCAACCUGCCCCCAACUAGGGAAUAACCUUGCGAAAGUAAGACUAAUACCCUAUAAUUUCCUCAGGUGACAUCUGACGAGGAAUAAAGAUUUAUCGGUUGUGGAUGGGGAUGCGUCUGAUUAGCUUGUUGGCGGGGUAACGGCCCGCCAAGGCAACGAUCAGUAGGGGUUCGGGGAGGAAGGUCCCCCACAUUGGAAAUGAUACACGGUCCAAACUCCUAGGGGAGGCAGCAGUGAGGAAUAUUGGUCAAUGGGCGGAAGCCUGAACCAGCCAAGUAGCGUGCAGGAUGACGGCCCUAUGGGUUGUAAACUGCUUUUAUACAAGAAUAAGGUUAGCCACGUGUGGUUAUUUGUAGGUACUGUAUGAAUAAGGACCGGCUAAUUCCGUGCCAGCCGCCGCGGUAA